This 253-nucleotide ribosomal RNA is filed under the name uncultured bacterium. RNAcentral describes it as "partial 16S ribosomal RNA". It matches the Rfam family "Bacterial small subunit ribosomal RNA", at positions 524 to 776 of the family's 1533-position model. The record is from RNAcentral.
UACGAAGGGGGCUAGCGUUGCUCGGAAUCACUGGGCGUAAAGCGCACGUAGGCGGAUUGCUAAGUCAGUGGUGAAAUCCUGGAGCUCAACUCCAGAACUGCCUUUGAUACUGGCGAUCUUGAGUCCGGGAGAGGUGAGUGGAACUGCGAGUGUAGAGGUGAAAUUCGUAGAUAUUCGGAAGAACACCAGUGGCGAAGGCGGCUCACUGGACGACUGUUGACGCUGAGGUGCGAAAGCGUGGGGAGCAAACAGG